GGGGAAUAUUGCUCAAUGGGGGAAACCCUGAAGCAGCAACGCCGCGUGAAGGAUGAAGGCUUUCGGGUUGUAAACUUCUUUGAUUGGGGACGAACAAAAUGACGGUACCCAAGGAACAAGCCACGGCUAACUACGUGCCAGCAGCCGCGGUAAUACGUAGGUGGCGAGCGUUGUCCGGAAUUACUGGGUGUAAAGGGCGUGUAGGCGGGGAUGUAAGUCAGAUGUGAAAUUCCGGGGCUCAACCCCGGCGCUGCAUCUGAAACUAUGUCUCUUGAGUGCUGGAGAGGAAAGCGGAAUUCCUAGUGUAGCGGUGAAAUGCGUAGAUAUUAGGAGGAACACCAGUGGCGAAGGCGGCUUUCUGGACAGUAACUGACGCUGAGGCGCGAAAGCGUGGGGAGCAAAC
This 403-nucleotide ribosomal RNA is filed under the name uncultured bacterium. RNAcentral's name for it is "bacterial SSU rRNA". It matches the Rfam family "Bacterial small subunit ribosomal RNA", at positions 356 to 773 of the family's 1533-position model. The record is from RNAcentral.